CAAUAGGAGGCUCCUGUUCAUCUGAAACCUAGAACCUAUAAUAAAAACAGUGAACAAUUCAAAACUGGCACAUUACUCCUACUGGCUGUUCAUGUGCCAAGAUUUUCCACCAUGCCAGAGUUGCAAACUGUGUACAGUCUCUGGAAACAACUAAGCUCUUCUUAUUUGUGAGGUAGCAUUGUGAGUAGUGAGGGAUUUAUUACAUAGGAAAUUUUAUUUUCUUUGUCUUAAGAAAAUGACUGUAAUAUGUGUCCCAAUGGUUAUUUGGGAAACUCACUUAUUGCAAGUUUAUUAAAUGGCUGAAGCACAUGAUUUCAGAGAAAGUAGGACUUCGGCAGCUAACAGCCUGAGGCACAGAAAUGGAAAAGGUUUCUGGAAUGAAUGAUACCCAUUUUCCUGUGAUCUUUACAGAAAAGAAGAUGGCCAAAUCUGUAACUAAAUUUUGAAAAUCAGGAAAUGGGACAUUACUACUGGUCUUGGCCUUGAGAACAUCUGGGAGGGAUCAAAGAUUCUGCACUAAGAGAAAGAUCAGCAUUUUGCUCACAUUAGGGGGUAAACCGUAGAUUUUUGAUCCUCUAAUAAAAGUGACAAAUCUGUUCAUUGUUUGCAUGUUGCCUUUUCUUGUAACUUUGAUAUUCAUAAAUUUAGAACCAGAUAUUUUGCUUUUACAAAUUGUACAGUGGGUUAAAAAGGGACACAACCAAUUUGUGUUCAAUUGUUAUUUGUAAUGCACAACUUGUUUUACUUUUGGCAAAUAAAAGUACUUUACGGCAA
Molecule: long non-coding RNA, 774 nt
Organism: Callithrix jacchus (white-tufted-ear marmoset)
Lineage: Eukaryota; Metazoa; Chordata; Mammalia; Primates; Cebidae
Source: RefSeq, a predicted model, not a curated record